CUUGUUACGAGAUAAUCAGAAGGGGGUAACUAGAAUAUUUUCCCUUCGGCAUAAAAACGUUAUGAUAACCUUUCUUCAGGUCAGAGUAACUUUAACAACCAUGACCACACAAUUUUUCCCCAAAAGUAACUGAUGUAAGAGUCCUCAAAAUCGGAAGCAGGAGCCUAGGGUACGGAAAUAUAUGGAAGAAAGGGGGUGGCUGGAAGAGUACGAAUUUGAGGAAAUAAAAGAAAAGUAUGUGGUCUUACAGCUCAAGUGGUAGAUAUGCCCAAAGCGAAGAUGUCAGAGGGAAUACAACCCGGAAAGUUCCUCUGUUCUUUCCUAUUGGCCUUUAAGCAAGCACAUAGAGGAAAUAAAAUGUCCGGAUUUUUGAAGAGCUUGCCCUACCAAAGUACAAAGAAAAGAAGCCAACACUUGAAAAACGACAGGAACUACCCAUUUGCAGGUAUUCCAAAAUUUUCUGCAACACUCAGCCAAAAAAUAUCAUAUUUGCUCAUCAAGUCUGAUGUGGAAGGAGGGGAUACCAAAAAGAAGGAAGGAGGGGUUACCAAAAAGAAGGAAGGAGGGAGGACAGACAUAGAGAAAGCAUGCCCAUUAUCCAUGCAUAUACUUUUAUGGUGAUAAGAUGAAGCUUAGCAAAGAAGCGACAAUAAACUUGGGCAAUUUCAGGUCAAUAAUAAGAUGAAUGACAUAAGGACUACCCAUGCGAAAAUAGUAAGAACCUUUCCACUGUUUUCUUUUUUCUUUAGACCAGCGGUGGGUUCGGAAAAUAAAUGAGGAUGGAUUUGGCAUUUAACAGAGAGUGUGGAUAUAAGUUCAUUUGCUUUUCUCUUCUCAAGUAUUUAGGUUUACUAUGCUCGUGGUUGAAAAACAAAUUCAUGUAAACUAAUGUUAAAUGAGCGAACUUGGGCCUUUCGGACUUAACAUAACCACAAGAUGAGUGGCAUAUAAAUAAGGAUGUUGAAAUGGAUGUGUAAUUAUAAGAUUAAACAGAAUUAGAAAGAGAAAAGACAUAAGUUGCCCAUCAAACUUGUCCGAAAAAAUCAUUUACAGGGCUUAACUUUACGGGCGACCUAUGUCCCCCUUAUUUUUGUUUGAGGUGAAUUUAAUACCACCCUAAAUGGUGACGUGGCAAAGGCAGUAGUUUCACUCUCCCAAACUCGCGUGUAAGAGGGGAAAAGAUUAAAAUUAGAUACAUAUUUUUACUGUGUCCGUCCCUUUUUCUUUUAUACUACUUCUUUCUUAUUUUAUUCUCUUUUUUGUUUUCUCUCUCUACCUUUUCUUCUUCUCUUUACCAUCAUUUCUCUUUUCCCACCCAAGACACCACCGUAUCUCCGCCAUACACCAUUGUAUCUGCCACCAUCCCCUCUUCCUUUUUUUCUUUUUUCUUCUUUUUCUCUUCUACUUUUUCUUUACCCGAGUAGAAGUACUCUCCACCACCUUUCAGCAAUAGCAGUACAACCUGUACUUCCCACACCCAUAUAUAGCCAUAUUGAUUCCAUUCACCAACUUCUCCUAGCUACAAAAAUCCUUUGUUUAUGAUUUAUUUAUUGUAAUAUUUCGUUGAACAAAAUUAAAUAAAUGGUUUAGUCUGGCCUCUUGAAAAGAUUGUUGUGUUUUUUUUCUUAAAAGAGUAAUAGUGCAGAUGCUGAAAUCAUUAGCUAACUUUAUGUUUGCUUGUACCAUGAUUCUUGUAUUUCACUUUAUUUGAGUUGAAUUCCAGAUGAUACAUAUUAGUUUACUUGGCGUCAAGUUAUGAGCUUGAGAUUUUUGUAAAAUAUUUCCAACUAAAGGGUCUUUUGAAAGAGGGAAGAGCAUAGAAUGGCCUAAGGAUCAAUAGCUCACUUUGAAGCCAUUGAUAAUUACAGUUUAUUGAAAUUUGAAAGUGCUUUUCUGUUUGAACAUAAAUUUUGCCGAAGCUUGAGGGUUUUUAAUUGGUUGAAAAGUUGGGUUUUCCGGCAUCAAUUUUCCGACGACGAGUUUUUCCCCUACUUUUUAAAGCUGAAAAUGAUGGAUCUUCCAUGGUGGUGUAGGUGGUUGAAGAUGAUAUGAAAAAAGAUUUGAAAAAGUAACGAAAUAAGUGAAAAUAAAAUAAAAUAAAGCAGCUUUUGACACGUGGCGCGUGUGUAAUACACAGCCCACCACAAGACUGAUUAUGUGUUAUCAAGGGGGUAUUAAAUUCACCUAAAACAAAAAUAAGGGGGACAUAGGUCGCCCGUAAAGUUAAGGUGUGUAAAUGAUUUUUUUCAGACAAGUUUGAUGGGCAACUUAUGUCUUUUCUCAAUUAGAAAUCAGCACAUUUGACAGAGGGUGCA
Molecule: long non-coding RNA, 2315 nt
Filed under: Nicotiana tabacum (common tobacco)
Lineage: Eukaryota; Viridiplantae; Streptophyta; Magnoliopsida; Solanales; Solanaceae
Description: long non-coding RNA (NTAB_LNC005490)
Source: RNAcentral